This 69-nucleotide transfer RNA is filed under the name Eptatretus burgeri (inshore hagfish). It matches the Rfam family "tRNA". Rfam says of the family: Transfer RNA (tRNA) molecules are approximately 80 nucleotides in length. The record is from Rfam by way of RNAcentral. RNAcentral also lists the same sequence under 5 other names. Lineage: Eukaryota; Metazoa; Chordata; Myxini; Myxiniformes; Myxinidae.
GUUCUCAUAGUUGAAUUACAACGGUGGUUUUUCAAGUCAUUAGUCCUGGUUAAAAUCCUGGUGAGAAUU